AGGCGCCGUCGUACGCCGGACCAACGGUAAAUCAUAACAUCAACUAGUUUCUGGAAAGGCGGCGGGGAAAGGAGCAUCCAUACGCGCACGCAAUUAGACCCCCGCCGUGAGAUGCGUCGGUGGCUGUGAGGCAGGUGGGGACAUGCCUGGGAGGCUGAAAGGGCUUCCGGACGCAUAAAUCGCACCAGGCGCCGUCGUACGCCGGACCAACGAUGCAUCAUAACAUCAACUAGUUGCUAGAAAGGCGGCAGGAAAGGACCAUCCAUACGCGCACGCAAUUAGACCCCCGCCGUGAGAUGCGUCGGUGGCUGUGAGGCAGGUGGGGACAUGCCUGGAGGCUGAAAAGGCUUCCGGACGCAUAAAUCGCACCAGGCGCCGUCGUACGCCGGACCAACGGUAAAUCAUAACAUCAACUAGUUUCUGGAAAGGCGGCGGGGAAAGGAGCAUCCAUACGCGCAUGCAAUUAGACCCCCGCCGUGAGAUGCGUCGGUGCCUGUGAGGCAGGCGAGGACAUGCCUGGGAGGCUGAAACAACAAUACACCGCUGAGUCCAUUCAGUCGUGCCAUUCAGUCGCUGCCUCCAAUGCCCUCCCAGCCCUGACCGCCUUACGGGGGUAAAAGUUGUCCCCAGAUGUCCCCUGAUGAUGAAUUUGGGCGGCAUGCACUGGGAGACGUCGGAGACGUCGGACAUGAGCCGAGCAGCUUUUUGCUGGUUGUCGUUCCCAGACCUGCCCCAAUCGCCGAUGACGUAGAAGACCAGGUCUGUCUUGCUGGGGUCGUAGCUGCGUGGACAAACAUAGUCUAGCUUCCGGCGGCUUAAGCCCCAUGCGAGGCCGAUAAUGAGCGCCACUAGGCCGAGGGAGCCAAUCGCGAUUAGCACGCCGACAAAAACCUUUCGUUCCCUCAGCUGGUGCUCGUAUGUAUUUCGCGAGCGCCCAGCCUUCUCUACGCCGCUGAUGAAGAAGCGCUCCUCCUCUUCUAGGUCAAAUCCGGUGCGCAGAGCUUGCGACCCCAUCUUCCAGGAGACAAGCACGCUUUAGUCCGGUUAGCGCAUUCUUAAAGAAAGAAUGUAUUCGGAUUGUUUUUGCCUUGGGACGGUUGGCAGCGCUGCCUCUACGGUGGAAACAGCAAACUUUGCUUUAAGGAGAAAUAUUCCAACAUGCAGCUGGGCGCUCCAAGCCAACAAAACGGUAAGCAACCCCAGCUGCAGUUUGCUGGGGUAUUGCUCGCUAGUAGAUACCACAAUGCAUGGUUGGUGUCUUUCCUCGAGCGGUUAACUGUUUUGCACGAACGGCAACGAACCAUUUCCUUUGUUGAACUAUGUGGCGANNNNNNNNNNNNNNNNNNNNNNNNNNNNNNNNNNNNNNNNNNNNNNNNNNNNNNNNNUGGGACACAUGAACCAACACACAAAUAAUGGUGCUGCUCUAUCUAUGAUGGAUCGUCUUUUGUAAUAAAAUCAUGCUUUUAAAGGUUUCCCUUGGCUCCCGCUCAUUCCUAGCAUGAUUGCAUGUCGGUGGCCAGGUGGUCUUGGGGGGGAUGUGCGGGGUUUCCAUAAAUCGCAUCAGGCGCCGUCGUACGCCGGACCAACGAUGCAUCAUAACAUCAACUAGUUGCUAGAAAGGCGGCGGGGAAAGGAGCAUCCAUACGCGCACGCAAUUAGACCCCCGCCGUGAGAUGCGUCGGUGGCUGUGAGGCAGGUGGGGACAUGCCUGGGAGGCUGAAAGGGCUUCCGGACGCAUAAAUCGCAUCAGGCACCGUCGUACGCCGGACCAACGAUGCAUCAUAUCAUCAACUAGUUACUAGAAAGGCGGCGGGGAAAGGAGCAUCCAUACGCGCACGCAAUUAGACCCCCGCCGUGAGAUGCGUCGGUGGCUGUGAGGCAGGUGGGGACAUGCCUGGAGGCUGAAAGGGCUUCCGGACGCAUAAAUCGCAUCAGGCGCCGUCGUACGCCGGACCAACGAUGCAUCAUAACAUCAACUAGUUGCUAGAAAGGCGGCGGGGAAAGGAGCAUCCAUACGCGCACGCAAU
Molecule: long non-coding RNA, 2027 nt
Filed under: Volvox carteri
Lineage: Eukaryota; Viridiplantae; Chlorophyta; Chlorophyceae; Chlamydomonadales; Volvocaceae
Description: long non-coding RNA (VCAR_LNC002322)
Source: RNAcentral